RNAcentral lists this ribosomal RNA (504 nucleotides) under uncultured bacterium. Its description in RNAcentral is "bacterial SSU rRNA". It matches the Rfam family "Bacterial small subunit ribosomal RNA", at positions 60 to 573 of the family's 1533-position model. The record is from RNAcentral.
AGUCGAGCGACGCACGGGUGAGGGUAACCGAGUCCGUGACGGAGCGGCGAACGGGUGAGUAACACGUGAGCAACCUGCCCCGAAGACCGGGAUAGCCCAGGGAAACUUGGAUUAAUACCGGAUACCCUCGAGUCAUCGCAUGGCGAUUCGAGGAAAUGCCUUUACGCUUCGGGAUGGGCUCGCGACCUAUCAGCUAGUUGGUGAGGUAACGGCUCACCAAGGCGUCGACGGGUAGCUGGUCUGAGAGGACGAUCAGCCACACUGGGACUGAGAUACGGCCCAGACUCCUACGGGAGGCAGCAGCAGGGAAUUUUGCACAAUGGGCGCAAGCCUGAUGCAGCAACGCCGCGUGGGGGAUGAAGGCCUUCGGGUUGUAAACCCCUUUCAGGAGGAACGAUAAUGACGGUACCUCCAGAAGAAGCCCCGGCCAACUACGUGCCAGCAGCCGCGGUAAUACGUAGGGGGCGAGCGUUGUCCGGAAUCAUUGGGCGUAAAGAGCUCGUA